AGGGCCCCCCCAGGAGUGGAGCCUGCGGCUUAUUUUGACUCAACACGGGGAACCUCACCAGGCCCGGACACUGACAGGAUUGACAGAUUGAGAGCUCUUUCUUGAUUCAGUGGGUGGUGGUGCAUGGCCGUUCUUAGUUGGUGGAGCGAUUUGUCUGGUUAAUUCCGAUAACGAACGAGACUCUGGCCUACUAAUUAGUCGCCGGGUUCCCUUCUCGGGGGGGCCCGGCCUCUUUUCUUAGAGGGAUAAGCGCCGCCCCCCCGCACGAAAAGGAGCAAUACCAGUGCUGUGAUGCCUUUAGAUGUGCUGGCCCGCCCCCCCGCUUACAUUGAACGGGUUCACCGUGCUUUCCCCCCCCCAAGAGGAGGGGGAACCCCCUCCAUCCCCCUCCGGGAUGGGGAUGGGGGUUUGUCUCCAUCCCCCUGGAAUGACCAUCCCAGAGCAAAGCAUUGCAUUCUUCUAGUGCUGACCUGCCCUUUGUACUUUCGUACCACCCAUCCUCCAAAUAAAAAAAUGAAU
This 519-nucleotide ribosomal RNA is filed under the name uncultured eukaryote. Its description in RNAcentral is "partial 18S ribosomal RNA". It matches the Rfam family "Eukaryotic small subunit ribosomal RNA", at positions 1161 to 1665 of the family's 1831-position model. The record is from RNAcentral.